This 82-nucleotide transfer RNA is filed under the name Clonostachys rosea. It matches the Rfam family "tRNA". Rfam says of the family: Transfer RNA (tRNA) molecules are approximately 80 nucleotides in length. Their secondary structure includes four short double-helical elements and three loops (D, anti-codon, and T loops). The record is from RNAcentral. Lineage: Eukaryota; Fungi; Ascomycota; Sordariomycetes; Hypocreales; Bionectriaceae.
GCGAGUUUGACCGAGUGGUUAAGGUGUUGUGUUUAGGCCGCAAUGUGCAUCGCACGCGUAGGUUCGAUCCCUACAGCUCGCA